Molecule: long non-coding RNA, 9458 nt
Filed under: Nicotiana tabacum (common tobacco)
Lineage: Eukaryota; Viridiplantae; Streptophyta; Magnoliopsida; Solanales; Solanaceae
Description: long non-coding RNA (NTAB_LNC003270)
Source: RNAcentral
AAGGAUAAAGCAUUUCUUAGCUUGAUGUGCUUGUGUUUGGCGACUUUUGUUGUUAUGAAGAUAGUGAUUCUGUUGUGAGUGUGUAUUUGGGGAUGUUCUUGUUAUGUUCAUUGUACCUGCAUCCAAAGAAAAAUGAUGAGUUUUGCAGGGGAAAGGUUGGUUCGUGCUCUUGUCUUCAAGCCCUACUUGAGUCACCCUUGGUAUCAUCUGGCUGCCAUAGAAACAAAAUUUUCGAAAAACAUGCAGGCAUUUGACAAAUUAUUUGUACAAAUAUAGUUGUUCGAAAUAUGUGAUAAUGCACGAGAUCAAAUAUUUUGAUGAACUGCUGACUGUGAUGAAUUUUGAGAUGUUGUAACCUCCUUGCUUCAGAAUUUUGGGGAUCCUCCUCAAAAUUCUGCCCUAGUUUAAAUGCAUACUUCUGGCAACACAUUCCUUGGUGGUUCCAAACAAGAUGAGAUUGGGCAAACUCGAGACCUUGCCCCAAUUUCUGACCAUAGGGAAAAUGAAGCGUUUAUCAUGAUGUGACCGAACCCACAGAGCUGCCUACGUAUCCCAUCUUAAAUGGGAAUCAGGCCAAGCAUAGUCCAGCUACAUCAAAUAGAAAGUGCAAACAUAAUCUUAAGCAUAGUAUCUACUGACUGCGUCCAAAUUGAUAGGUUUUGGAUAAAUCUCUCCAUCCAUUUCUACAAGUAUAUGUGUUCCUCCUGUUAACACCCGGUGAACCAUGUAAGGGCCUUGCUGGUUUGGUGAGAAUUUCCCCUUUGCUUCAUCCUGAUGUGGGAAGAUUCACUUUAGUACCAACUCCUCCGGCGUGAAUUGCCUCGACCUGACUUUUUUUUUGAAAGCUCUUGCCAUUCUGUUCUGGUAGAGUUGACCGUGACAUACUGCGUUCAUUCUUUUUCCAUCAAUGAGAGCUAGUUGUUCAUACCGGCUUUGUACCCAUUCCAUAUUACUGAGCUCGGCUUUUUGUAUGAUUCUUAAGGAAGGAAUUUCCACUUCGGCGAGAAUAACGGCUUCAGUACCAUAAACCAAUACAUAGGGAAUUGCCCCAAUUGAUGAACGAACUAUGGUACGAUACCCAAGUAAAGAAAAUGGUAGCUUCUCGUGCCAUUUUUCUUGUAAUUGUCUACUAUUUUCCUCAGUAUCGUCUUGAUGUUCUUGUUGGCGGCUUCUACGACUCUGUUCAUUUGUGGCAUGUAAGUUGUAGAGUUUUGAUGCUUGAUCUUGAAUGUUUUACACAUGGCUUUCAUUAAAUCGCUAUUGAGAUUGGCAGUAUUGUCAGUAAUGAUUGACUCUAGUACUCCAAAUCGACAAACAAUGUGGUCUCGAACAAAAUCUGCUACAACCUUCUUAAUUACAGCUUUUUAAGAUACGGCUUCAACCCAUUUUGUGAAGUAGUCUAUGGCCACCAAAAUUAACCUAUAUCUGUUUGAAGCAGCAGGUUCGAUCAGUCCGAUGACAACCAUACCCAAGCGGAUAAGGGCCAGGGUGAACUUGUUGCAUUAAGUUCGUUGGGUGGUACCCGUAUCAUGUCAGCAUGUAUCUGGCAUUGGUGACACUUUUGAACAUACUUGAUGCAGUCCGUUUCCAUAGUCAUCUAGAAAUACCUUGCUCUUAAUCUCUUCUUGGCCAAAAUAAAACCAUUCAUGUGGGGUCCGUUGGUUCCGGCAUAUAAUUCCUCGAGAAAUCUGGAUGCCUCCUUAGCAUCGACACAUCAUAGUAAUCCCAGGUCAGGAGUCCUUCUAUACAGAUUUCCUCCACUUUGAAAGAAAUGAUUGGCUAAUCUGUGAAGCGUGCGCUUUUGAGUAUGGGUAGCACUCUGUAGGUAUUCUCCCUUUUCCAAAUACUCCUUGAUGCCGUGGAACCACAGAUUUCCGUCAAUUUCUUCUUCAACAUGAGCACAAUAAGUUGUUGCUUAUGAAUUCCUAUUAGGAUAGGAUCAAUGAAAUUCUUGUCUGGGUGUUGUAUCAUGCAAGACAAAGUGUCUAAUGCAUCUACGAACUCAUUUUGAAUCCUUGGAACAUGUUUGAAUUCUAUCUUUGUGAACCUCUUGAUGAACUCUUGUACACGGUUCAAAUUUAGAAAUAUUUUGGUGUUCUUUGUAGCCCAUUCCCCUAGAACCUGGUGCACUAAAAAAUCUAAAUCCCCGAUUACCAGCAUCUCCUGAAUGUUUAUAUCAAUGGCCAAUCUGAGUCCCAAGAUGCAUGCCUUAUAUUAUGCCAUAUUUUUUGUGCAUGGCAACCUGAGUUUUGCGGAUACUGGAUAGUGUUGAUAGUUUCUGAUACUAAGGUAGCUCUGAUACCUACUCCUUUGAAGUUUGAUGCUCCGUCGAAGAACAUCCUCCAACUAUUUUAUGCCUCGGUAGUAUCUUCCCCUACAAAUUAUACCUCCUCGUUGGGAAAUACAUUUUCAAUGGUUCGUAUUCACCGUAUAUAGGAUUUUCUUCCAAGUGAUCUGCUAAUGCAUGCCCUUUGACUGCCUUCUAAGUUACAUAAACGAUUUCGAACUCACUCAGCAAUAUUUUCCACUUCGCUAACUUACCUGUAGGCAUGGGUUUCUGAAAGAUGUAUUUUAGUGAUACAUCCUUUAUAUGAGAUAUGUAGUGCAUGCACAGAAAUAUUAUCUAAAAUUCUCAGCUAUCCAUGUCAAAGCAUAGUAGGUGCGUUCCAAGAAAGAGUACACGGCUUCAUAAGGUGAGAACUUCUUGCUCAGAUAAUAUAUCGCCUGCUCCUUUCUUCCAGUUACAUCAUGUUGUCCUAGCACACAACCAAAAGCCCCAUCUAACAUGAACAAACAAAAAAGCAAAGGUCUUCUUGGUUAUGGUGGGACCAACAGGGGCGAUUUUAAUAAAUACUCCUUGAUUUUGUCGAAGGCCCUCUGGCAUUCUUCAUUCCAGCUUGUUCCAGCAUCUUUCCUCAGUGUUCUGAUGAUUGGCUCACAUAUUACGGUUGAUUGUGCUAUGAAGCGGCUGAUGUAAUUAAGGCGUCCUAAAAAACUCAUCACAUCUUUCUUAUUCUUUGGAGGUGACAAGUCCUUGAUUGCUUUGACUUUUACGGGUCUAACUCAAUCCCUCGGCGACUGAUGAUGAAUCCUAACAAAUUUCCUGCAGGGACUCCGAAGGCACAUUUUGUAGGAUUCAACUUCAAAUUGUAUUUUCAAAGCCGGUCGAAAAAUUUCUUCAAGUCUGCUAUGUGAUUCGAACUCCUUUUAGAUUUGAUGAUAACAACAUCCAUGUACACCUCUAUUUUCUUGUGUAUCAUGUCGAGCAAGAUCGUCAUCAUGGACCUCAUGAAGGUAUCCCUAGCAUUAUUCAAACUAAAUGACAUCAUUUUGUAGCAGUAUAUUCCCCAUGGUAUGAUAAAGGUUAUCUUUUCGCCAUCCUCUUCAUCCAUACAGAUUUGAUGGUAUCCUACAAAGAAAUAAAAAAAGGAUUGGAGCUCAUUCUUGGAACAAUUGUCAAUGAGUAUGUAUAUGUUGGGCAGAAGGAAAUCAUCCUUGGGACUCGCCCUGUUUAGGUCUCGGUAAUCAACAUAUAUUCUAUAUUUCCCAUAUUUCUUCAGAACUGGCACAAUGUUGGCCAACCAAGUCGGGUAUUCAACCACUCAAAGAACCUUGGAUUUGAUUUGUUUGGUAACCUCCUCUUUUAUCUUCAAACUCAUAUUCGGUUUGAACUUUCUAAGCUUCUACUUUGCUGGUGGACACAAACGAUUGGUGUGUAGUUUGUAAGCUACUAUUACUUUAGAUGAGCUUAAACUAGUCAUAUCGCCGUAGGACCAUGCAAAGAUGUCUUCAUAUUCCUUCAGGAAUAUUAUAUACUCCUUCUCCGAUGGUGAUAGAUGAAUGCUUAUAUGCAUUUCCUUGACCGUUUCGGAAUCCCCUAAGUUAACGGCCUCAGUUUCCUCCAAAUUAGACUUUGGUUUGUUUUUAAAGUUCUCUACUUCUCUGAUGACUCAGGUAUUAUAUCAUCCUCUAGAUCCUCCUAAUCACUGUCCUUAUAUUGUGUUGUCUCAUCACAAGUGACGGUCGUAAGUUCAACAGGAUAUGUAAUAAUUAUGCUAAAAAUAAAUGUAGAAAGAUAAUGCAAAUAUAAAAAGCAGUAAUGCCGUAAUAAAACUUUUUAAUAAGUAUAAAGUAUGACUCGAUGGUUCAAGUAAUUAUUUCAAAACUAAAUACUGAAAAUGUCUCAAAUGCUUAAAACUAUUUAAAAAUAAUUCAUGCUAAUUUCCCGGGCUACCCAGGAACUCGACGGGCCUGAGAUGGUGUAGUUGUCCAUUUCUUAAGAACAACUCCUUCCAUGGUUUGAAUGGUAAGUCUUCCUCCUCCUUCUCCUCAAUAAUUGCACUGCAGUCCAUGUCUUCUUCAUCUAGGAGCUUUCUCAUGCUAGCCUAAACCUCAUCUUCCUCAGAUCCCCACAUCAUGUUAGCUUGAUGGAAUGUCUGAUGCAGAGGUGGUACGGGUUGUUCCAGUGGAUAAUAAGGAGCACGCCAUGGUGGUGUCCAAUCCUAUUAUUCUUGCCAUGUGUAUUCAUAUCCGAGUCUAAAAGUCAUACCAUGAUACUGUGGUUGCACGGGUUUGGUGAUCCCCUGAAGCUUUUUAUCGAGAGCCUAGCCUGUUUCAUACCCCGUCCACAACAAUAUGCUUUCUAUCUUGUUGCUCCACCAUCAGUCCUUUUCAAUUGUGUAAACCCGUUUAAUGCAGUGGUAUGUUUCUCUGCCCAGCUUCCUUCUAUUUUCGAUGACCGCAAUGGUCUGGUUGGUAUAGAUGGGGUUACUUCCAUCUCCAUGGAUGAUCACCUCCUGAGGAUUCCAUUCAAACUUCACAUCCUAGUGCAGAGUUGAAGCCAAUGCACCAGCGGCAUGUAUCCAUGGUCAUCCCAACAAUAGAUUAUUAGUAGCAGAUAUAUCUAGCACUUGGAACUCGACAUCAAACCAAGUCGGACCCAUCCGUAGACUGAGGUUGAUUUCUCCAAUGGUGGCUCUUUAAGAUCCAUUGAACGCCUUUACAUUCAUGCUUCCCAUUCAUAUCUCGUACAGGCCUUUACCUUGUAUCUUUAGAGUGGCCAAUGGACAUAUGUUGAGACUUGAACCUCCAUAUAUCAAGAGCCUAGCGAUGAACUUAUCUUCAAAUUGCACCAGGAUGUGCAACGCCCUACUGUGAAUCAGUCCUUCUGGUGGUAAUUCAUCUUUGUGGAUAGUGUUUUUGUGGCUCUCCAAUACAUGUCCGACCAUGUUAGCCAUUUCUCCACUAGUGAUGUCGGUGGGUACAUAAGAUUCACUUAACACCUUCAUCAAAGCAUUCGUGUGCGCGUCUAAGUUUUGCAGCAGUCAUAAGAUGGAUAUCUGAGCAGGAGUUUUCUUCAAGUGGUCAACAACAAAGUAUUCCCUUACUUGUAUCUUCCUCCAAAGUUCGUCAGUGCUAGUCUCGACAACAGGCGGCUUAGGUGAAACUUCUUUACUUGUCCCUCCUAGAUUCUCAGGUGUGUAAACUCUGCCAGUUCUAGUCGUACCUUGCGCGACACCUGUUUCCUCCAUUUUUGUUUUUCCCUUCCUUCUUUCUUCCGCAACAUAAUCCUAUAGAACGGUAUCAAACUUGUAAGAUGGUGUGGGAGCUACCAUCACGGUCAAGGGUGUAGUUACCUCAACUUCAAAUGGCACAUGGGUUUAUACUACAACUGACGUGAGGGUGACUAGCGAUGUUUAAGAGCAUCUCCCUCUUGAAUUAGUCCAAUGGACCAUUCUUGAUCCCAUUCUUCAUCAGUUUCUUUCACAUCACUCCCUCACCUCUAUGAUCCGAGAUAUGGUUGUUGCAAACAUUUGGUGCAACUUCCUUUGCCUGUGUGACCUUAGUGUCGAUCAUCGUCUGAAUCGUGUCUUUCAACGUGUGACACUUCUCAAUGGUAUGACCCUUCAUGUCGGAAUGAUAAGCAUAUAUUUUGUUGGGGUUGAUCCAUUAGGAGGGAUUUUCCACAACAACAGCAGGAAUAGGAGUAACGUAACUAGCGGCCUUCAAUCUCUCAUACAGUUGGUUUAUAGGUUCAGUAAUUGGGGUGUAUUGUCUAAAAGGUCUACGGUCAAAAUUUGGACGUGGAUUUAGGUAGUUUUGGCGGGCGGGUGGAGGUGAAUGGUAAUGUGCAAGUAUAGUAUUAUAGGUGUUAUAGGUGGUGGCAGGGUGUUGGUAUCUUGGUGAUAAGGGUUGAUAUGUGGGUGGAGGUGCUUGGUUUGUGAGGGGAGACUUAGGGACCUGGGCUACCAUCACGGCACUCACUUCUUUCUACUUCGAAAUGCCUCCUGAUUGCAAAGAUUUAUUCGUGACCUGUAGUGCCUUGAAAUUGGUCAUCAUCCCAUUCUUAAUUCAUUCUUCUAAUCUUUCUCCUAGCUUGAUGAUGUCGAAGAACUUGUGAUUUUCAAUGAUCAUCAACCUUUCGUAAUACUAUAGAUCUUGAGCUCUAACAAAGGACUUGUUCAUUUGUUCCUCUUCAAGUGUUGGCCUUACCUUUGCGGCCUCUGAUCUCUAACGAGUAGCAUACUCGCGGAAGGUUUCUGUCAGCUUCUUCUUGAUGUUUUGAAUGUAGAAAACAUAUGGUGCGUUUUCUAUGUUGAACAUGUAUCUAUACAUGAAAUCUGAUGCCAUGCUCACCCAACAAACCCACUUCUUUGGGUUUUGACUAAUAUACCAAGACAAGGCCUCUCCUGUGACGGUUUCAUGCGGAUUUUUUCAUUAUUGCCCACUCCUACAAGCUUGUUGCAAUAUAUUCUCAGGUGUACCUUCGUAUCACCAGUACCAUCGAACAUUUUGAACUUGUGAGGUUUGUAACCCUCUCAUAGUUCCACAUCCGGCCGAAUGCAUAGGUCCUCAUAGUUUAGACCUUCAAUGCCUUUACCACCUUCAAUACUCUAGACUCUACCAGUGUGCUUCUUGAGUUCCUUCACCAUGUUUUUAAUGUGCAGGUCCUUUUCAAUCAAUUUGGGUAUGUAUAGGGUUUACUGUAGGGUACGGGGUAAGGUUUUACAUAUAUCGAAUUUCUUUGAUGGGUUCCGGGAACUUGGGGUAUACGGGUGGUCAUUGGUCGUGUUUUGGGAUUGGGAGAAGGUUGUGGUGCAUUUUGGGGAGUGAGAUAAGUAGUGGUUUAUGGUUAUUGAGUUGGAUGGUGGUGGUGUUAUUAAGGGGUCGACACCGGGGGAGGUCAGGAUAUUGGUGUGGUGCAACGGGAUUUGAUGGUGGAUUCUGGCUUUGUGUGUUUUGUGAUGGUGUUUGGUUCUGGGUGGUCGGGUUUUGCUGGUUGAGGUCGGGAACAUUGAGAGUAAGGGAGAGGUUUGCCAAAUUCAGGCCCUGCACAAGCUCGCCCGGUAGUUCCAUUAUUUUCUGCUCUAAAUGUAAGACCAACUCAUUUUGUCCCGGAGUACUUUGGCCAUCUGAAGUUUCAACGGCUUCCGCCAUAGUAACAUUGUCUUUCCUGAUACCAUUUAAAUCAUUCAUAUUUCCCUUUCCUUUGCCUUUUCCUUUGGGGUCACUCGGUGGAAGAGGAGUUGGAGGGCCUCUGGAUCUGGUGUGGUAUGUGUCACACCUCCUUUUUAGGGAGUUUUUCCAAUUGAAGUGACAAUAAUCAAAACGAGAUUAUUUAUUCAGAUUCAGAGUCUCCACUUGGGUUAAUUUAUGGUGUCCAAAGUCACCGGUUUAAGAUCCCGAGUCGAGAAAGUUUGACUCUGUUUUACAGUCCGUGAAACUCAUAAAUACGGGUAAGGAAUUUUGUUAACUCGGGAGAAGGUGUUAGGCAUUCCCAAGUUUCGUGGUUUUAGCACGGUCGCUUUAAUCAUACUUGGCAUAAUUUAAUUGUCUAAUUACUUAUUUUAGAACCUAUGUACAUUUUCCCUUUUAAUUAAGAAAUUAACCUGAAAUGAGUCACGCGUACGUGUACUCAUUUCGUUUGGCACGUGAAGAAUCAUUUCACGCUUAUGUGUCCACAAUUAAUCACGCUUUAUUAAUAUUAAGAAUGUUUGGCCGAAGUUGCGCUAACGCAUACCUCGAUUUAUUUUGAAAGUCGUAAAUAUGUCACCUGAACGUGUACCCAAUCAUGAUGAUAGAUUAAGCCGCGCCUAAAGCAUUUUCUACAAAUAUUCAUUUUUAAAUCGUACUCGUGUCACAUGGACGUGUACACAAAAAGCUUUUAACCCAAAUUGUAUGUGCAGUUGGCUAACACCGGUCCACCAACGUUCUUGAAGUUCCAUUUUUGCUUCGAUGUUCACAAAUCCAAGCCAAUCAAUAGCUGAAUCCAUAAAUCUGAGCUAUACAUAUAAUAUUGCUACCUCUUGCACUCUUAAACAUCAUGAAAGAUAUCUAUAACCCAACAUGCUAUUGCGCAUUGAAUCGUUGUAAUCAAUAAAUCCUGGAAGAUUACCUAACCCACUCCUAAUCACUUGAUUUCGUGGAACAACAUAGGUUUGCAAAAUUAGAAUCAAACACAAAUAUUUCAUAACACCCUAAGAUAUUACUGAUUCACAAAACACAGCAGGCAUAAGCAAUUAGACCUAAGUAACGAGGAAAGAUAAAGCGAAGACUAUAUCCUAACUCUCAACACCAUGUAUUUCACUCAAAUCACCAUUCAAGUGUUCAUGAACAGAUUCAACAAACUUCCAAUAUAUACUAGUUCAACUAACGAAGCACAUUUAACAAAAUACUACAAAGAUCAAGUAAAGCAAGAUUUGAAAUAUAACUAGAAUGAAAAUUACUUAAAUUAAAAGAUCGGUUAAGAAUGAACCUUACAAUAGAAGAAUCAAAUUUCCUUGAAAGCUUUAAAAUGUACAUGGACUUCCAAAUAGAAACAAAACAGAGCAGCAAAAUAAACUCGAAUCAAACAGGGACCUCGACCUGAAAUCAGCGGCAAACCAUAAAUCACGCAAGUGACAACCUCGAACACAGAGCUUCACAGGAUUAAUGGAAGAUUUUGGUGUUGUUUCCUCGGAAAAAAUGGCAGCGGUUUUGGCUACUAUUUUCACAUUUGUGGAGCUGGUUUUACAGCUUUCAUGGUAUAUUUUAGAGGGCUAAUGGUGCUGCAUUUAUUACUGUGUUGGGGCUGGUUUGGAGAUGCAUUUUCACUAUGUUUUAAUGGAGUUUGAACAGUAAUUUUGUGGCUGUUUAACAUUGCAAGGAAGCUAGUUUUUAGGCUGUUUCAUUGCAGUUUUGGGCUGCUCUUUGGAGCUAUUUUGCUGGUCUCCAUAGGGGUAUUGGCGGCUGACUUAGGUUAAGGGGUUAGGGUUCUAGGAGAAGAAGAAGCUCUUGGUUGAAGAAGAAGAUGAGGGGACUACUGGUGAUGGCAUGAGGGUGGCUGAUGGUGUUUUGGAGAAGAGGGGAGUGGCAUUGGAUUAGGGUUCUAAGGUUGGGAUGUGAAGAAGAAGAAGAGUGGUGUUAUUUUGGGGUUCCUGAUGAUAAAAACGGCUGGGGGGUCUCUAGGGUUAGGGAUC